This 440-nucleotide ribosomal RNA is filed under the name uncultured bacterium. RNAcentral's name for it is "partial 16S ribosomal RNA". It matches the Rfam family "Bacterial small subunit ribosomal RNA", at positions 338 to 795 of the family's 1533-position model. The record is from RNAcentral.
CCUACGGGGGGCAGCAGUAGGGAAUAUUGCUCAAUGGGGGAAAGCCUGAAGCAGCAACGUCGCGUGGAGGAUGAAGGUUUUAGGAUUGGAAACUCCUUUUGUUAGAGAAGAAAAUGACGGUAUCUAACGAAUAAGCACCGGCUAACUCCGUGCCAGCAGCCGCGGUAAUAAGGAGGGUGCAAGCGUUACUCGGAAUCACUGGGCGUAAAGCGCGCGUAGGCGGGAUAGCAGGUCAGAUGUGAAAUCCUAUGGGUUAACCAUAGAACUGCAUUUGAAACUGUUAUUCUAGAGUAUGGGAGAGGUAGGUGGAAUUCUUGGUGUAGGGGUGAAAUCCGUAGAGAUCAAGAGGAAUACUCAUUGCGAAGGCGGCCUGCUAGAACAUAACUGACGCUGAUGCGCGAAAGCGUGGGGAGCAAACAGGAUUAGAUACCCUGGUAGUC